This 1043-nucleotide ribosomal RNA is filed under the name Alternaria alternata. RNAcentral describes it as "eukaryotic LSU rRNA". It matches the Rfam family "Eukaryotic large subunit ribosomal RNA", at positions 74 to 1136 of the family's 3401-position model. Lineage: Eukaryota; Fungi; Ascomycota; Dothideomycetes; Pleosporales; Pleosporaceae. The record is from RNAcentral.
AUUGCCCUAGUAACGGCGAGUGAAGCGGCAACAGCUCAAAUUUGAAAUCUGGCUCUUUUAGAGUCCGAGUUGUAAUUUGCAGAGGGCGCUUUGGCUUUGGCAGCGGUCCAAGUUCCUUGGAACAGGACGUCACAGAGGGUGAGAAUCCCGUACGUGGUCGCUGGCUAUUGCCGUGUAAAGCCCCUUCGACGAGUCGAGUUGUUUGGGAAUGCAGCUCUAAAUGGGAGGUACAUUUCUUCUAAAGCUAAAUAUUGGCCAGAGACCGAUAGCGCACAAGUAGAGUGAUCGAAAGAUGAAAAGCACUUUGGAAAGAGAGUCAAACAGCACGUGAAAUUGUUGAAAGGGAAGCGCUUGCAGCCAGACUUGCUUACAGUUGCUCAUCCGGGUUUCUACCCGGUGCACUCUUCUGUAGGCAGGCCAGCAUCAGUUUGGGCGGUAGGAUAAAGGUCUCUGUCACGUACCUCCUUUCGGGGAGGCCUUAUAGGGGAGACGACAUACUACCAGCCUGGACUGAGGUCCGCGCAUCUGCUAGGAUGCUGGCGUAAUGGCUGUAAGCGGCCCGUCUUGAAACACGGACCAAGGAGUCUAACAUCUAUGCGAGUGUUUGGGUGUCAAGCCCGAGCGCGUAAUGAAAGUGAACGGAGGUGGGAACCCGCAAGGGUGCACCAUCGACCGAUCCUGAUGUCUUCGGAAGGAUUUGAGUAAGAGCAUGGCUGUUGGGACCCGAAAGAUGGUGAACUAUGCUUGAAUAGGGUGAAGCCAGAGGAAACUCUGGUGGAGGCUCGCAGCGGUUCUGACGUGCAAAUCGAUCGUCAAAUUUGGGCAUAGGGGCGAAAGACUAAUCGAACUAUCUAGUAGCUGGUUCCUGCCGAAGUUUCCCUCAGGAUAGCAGUAACGUAUUCAGUUUUAUGAGGUAAAGCGAAUGAUUAGAGGCCUGGGGGUUGAAACAACCUUCACCUAUUCUCAAACUUUAAAUAUGUAAGAAGUCCUUGUUACUUAAUUGAACGUGGACAGUUGAAUGAAACGUUAUUAGUGGGCCAUUU